This is a long non-coding RNA of Ceratitis capitata (Mediterranean fruit fly), 545 nucleotides long. RefSeq lists it as uncharacterized. The transcript is spliced from 3 exons. The record is from RefSeq and is a predicted model, not a curated record. Lineage: Eukaryota; Metazoa; Arthropoda; Insecta; Diptera; Tephritidae.
GUACAUACAUACAUCCAAUAAACCGAAUCUGCAAUCCAAUUAAAUGCUUAGUGUCAAUUAAAAAUUUAAAUUUAAUUGGCUACACAUUAAACGACGAAUGGGCACAGAUUAAAAACUCAUUAGGAGAGACAAGUGAUUAACAAACCGAAAAAAGGUAGAAAUACACACACACAUACACAAGUACAUCCACUGGAUAAAGUUUCACAUAACGGCAGAGACACAUUAAAAAUCGCGCAGAAGGACCUUAACAACAUCGGAUAAUGCACGUCUGCGUAGUGCUGCAUGGGUUUUAGUGAGCCGCAUUGUAAGAGGAAAGGUGGACACUUCGCGCAAUGUUUAAUUCCCAACAUUUGUGGCCAAUUUAAAUUAACGAUCCGCGUAAAUGCUUACCAUUUAACACGAGCUGAGGGUUUGGCGAGAAAAUGAAUCUUCCGAUGAGGAAUUUAUUAUACUUUUAAUCUUAAGAUUCGGCAGUUUGUGGCUUUGCAACAGUUUGUAACUAAAUUCAGUUAUUGCUGGUAAUUGAUGUAUGUGCCUAAGAUUAC